UAGUGGUGAGCUGCAUUCCUGAAUGGCUGCAAUCCAUGUGCUGAAGGUUUACCCACAAUGCUGUUCAGGAAGUUCCGGAUUGUGACCCAGCGUCAGUGAAGGAACAGCGAUGUAUCUCCAAGGCAGGAUGAUUGCACAUAAUGCAAGAAAAUAACAUUCGAAAGAAGGUGAUGCAAGUUCUCUCCUGGUUAUGGCUGAACAGAACUUUCCGGUCACUUCAGAAGGCUGCCACUGGACAUUUGGAAUAAUUUGGUGAAGCCUCUGGAAGUUUCUAAAGCUGGUUACAAUAGACACAUCGAGACACCGUCCUUAUGAAAUGCAGCACUUGCCAUUAUCAGAGCCUAUCCCAAAAGCAACAAGGACAACAAAGCUUUUGGACACUCUGAAUUCCAGCUGGGCCAGACAGGAGAGCUAACUAAACCAGUCAUGUGCAAGGAAGUGCUAAGGACAAUGUUGUGUGUGGAGAAAACCUUUGUUCUAUGAACAGCCACAUAGCAAGCACAUAGGGAGCUAAGUCAGACUGAAGUCAGAUCACAUGGAGCUCAGAUGUAGUCUCCCUCACCAACCCUUGCCUAUCAUUAUGUUCAAUAAAGCCUCUUAAUGUCCACU
Molecule: long non-coding RNA, 609 nt
Organism: Stegostoma tigrinum
Lineage: Eukaryota; Metazoa; Chordata; Chondrichthyes; Orectolobiformes; Stegostomatidae
Exons: 3
Source: RefSeq, a predicted model, not a curated record